CCUACGGGUGGCAGCAGUGAGGAAUAUUGGUCAAUGGGCGAGAGCCUGAACCAGCCAAGUCGCGUGAGGGAGUACUGCCCUAUGGGUUGUAAACCUCUUCUGUCGGGGAGCAAAAGCCGGACGUGUCCGGGUGUGAGAGUACCCGAAGAAAAAGUAUCGGCAAAUUCCGGGCCAGCAGCCGCGGUAAUACGGAGGCGGCGGGCGUUAUCCGGAUUUAGGGGGUUAAAAGGGUGCGCAGGCGGAUUUUUAAGUCCGCGGGAAAAUCGAGGGGCUAAACCCCGACCAGCCGUUGAAACUGGGGAUCUGGAGUGUGCGAGAGGUAAGCGGAAUGCGUGGUGUAGCGGUGAAAUGCGUAGAUAUCACGAAGAACCCCGGUUGCGAAGGCGGCAUACCGGUGCACAACUGACGCUGAGGCGCGAAAGCGUGGGUAGCGAACAGGAUUAGAUACCCUUGUAGUC
RNAcentral lists this ribosomal RNA (458 nucleotides) under uncultured bacterium. RNAcentral's name for it is "partial 16S ribosomal RNA". It matches the Rfam family "Bacterial small subunit ribosomal RNA", at positions 338 to 795 of the family's 1533-position model. The record is from RNAcentral.